AUGCACUUUUACCCAAAUCCAUCA
This 24-nucleotide non-coding RNA is filed under the name Arabidopsis thaliana (thale cress). Lineage: Eukaryota; Viridiplantae; Streptophyta; Magnoliopsida; Brassicales; Brassicaceae. The record is from RNAcentral.